AAUCUCUAGAAAUGUUUCCCGCGUUGGACCGCACACAAGUCUGUUGGAAUACAGCGGCAUAGUGGUGAGACCCCCGUAUAUGGUGCGGACGCCCAGCGCUUUGUGAUACAUUUUCGAAGAGUCGAGUUGUUUGGGAAUGCAGCUCAAAUUGGGUGGUAAAUUCCAUCUAAAGCUAAAUAUUGGCGAGAGACCGAUAGCGAACAAGUACCGUGAGGGAAAGAUGAAAAGCACUUUGGAAAGAGAGUUAACAGUACGUGAAAUUGUUGGAAGGGAAACGCUUGAAGUCAGACUUGCUUGCCGAGCAAUCGGUUUGCAGGCCAGCAUCAGUUUUCCGGGAUGGAUAAUGGUAGAGAGAAGGUAGCAGUUUCGGCUGUGUUAUAGCUCUCUGCUGGAUACAUCUUGGGGGACUGAGGAACGCAGUGUGCCUUUGGCGGGGGUUUCGACCUCUUCACACUUAGGAUGCUGGUGGAAUGGCUUUAAACGAC
This 485-nucleotide ribosomal RNA is filed under the name Rhodotorula mucilaginosa. RNAcentral's name for it is "eukaryotic LSU rRNA". It matches the Rfam family "Eukaryotic large subunit ribosomal RNA", at positions 147 to 648 of the family's 3401-position model. Lineage: Eukaryota; Fungi; Basidiomycota; Microbotryomycetes; Sporidiobolales; Sporidiobolaceae. The record is from RNAcentral.